GUCUCUGUGGCGCAAUCGGUUAGCGCGUUCGUCUGCUAACCGAAAGGUUGGUGGUUCAAGCCCACCCAGGGGCG
Molecule: transfer RNA, 74 nt
Filed under: Saccoglossus kowalevskii
Lineage: Eukaryota; Metazoa; Hemichordata; Enteropneusta; Harrimaniidae
Description: tRNA-Ser
Rfam family: tRNA
About the family: Transfer RNA (tRNA) molecules are approximately 80 nucleotides in length. Their secondary structure includes four short double-helical elements and three loops (D, anti-codon, and T loops).
Source: RNAcentral